RNAcentral lists this ribosomal RNA (301 nucleotides) under uncultured bacterium. RNAcentral describes it as "partial 16S ribosomal RNA". It matches the Rfam family "Bacterial small subunit ribosomal RNA", at positions 509 to 807 of the family's 1533-position model. The record is from RNAcentral.
CAGUAGCCGCGGGAAUACGAAGGGGGCUAGCGUUGUUCGGAUUUACUGGGUGUAAAGCGCACGUAGGCGGAUUCUUAAGUCAGAGGUGAAAUCUCAAGGCUCAACCUUGGAACUGCCUUUGAUACUGGGGAUCUUGGGUCCGGGAGAGGUGAGUGGAACUGCGAGUGUAGAGGUGAAAUUCGUAGAUAUUCGCAAGAACACCAGUGGCGAAGGCGGCUCACUGGCCCGGAACUGACGCUGAGGUGCGAAAGCGUGGGGAGCAAACAGGAUUAGAUACCCCUGUAGUCCCUGUCUCUUAUAC